RNAcentral lists this ribosomal RNA (693 nucleotides) under Enterobacter hormaechei. RNAcentral's name for it is "partial 23S ribosomal RNA". It matches the Rfam family "Bacterial large subunit ribosomal RNA", at positions 2238 to 2925 of the family's 2925-position model. The record is from RNAcentral. RNAcentral also lists the same sequence under 22 other names. Lineage: Bacteria; Pseudomonadati; Pseudomonadota; Gammaproteobacteria; Enterobacterales; Enterobacteriaceae.
AUCCGGGUUGCGGACAGUGUCUGGUGGGUAGUUUGACUGGGGCGGUCUCCUCCCAAAGAGUAACGGAGGAGCACGAAGGUUGGCUAAUCCUGGUCGGACAUCAGGAGGUUAGUGCAAUGGCAUAAGCCAGCUUGACUGCGAGCGUGACGGCGCGAGCAGGUGCGAAAGCAGGUCAUAGUGAUCCGGUGGUUCUGAAUGGAAGGGCCAUCGCUCAACGGAUAAAAGGUACUCCGGGGAUAACAGGCUGAUACCGCCCAAGAGUUCAUAUCGACGGCGGUGUUUGGCACCUCGAUGUCGGCUCAUCACAUCCUGGGGCUGAAGUAGGUCCCAAGGGUAUGGCUGUUCGCCAUUUAAAGUGGUACGCGAGCUGGGUUUAGAACGUCGUGAGACAGUUCGGUCCCUAUCUGCCGUGGGCGCUGGAGAAUUGAGGGGGGCUGCUCCUAGUACGAGAGGACCGGAGUGGACGCAUCACUGGUGUUCGGGUUGUCAUGCCAAUGGCACUGCCCGGUAGCUAAAUGCGGAAGAGAUAAGUGCUGAAAGCAUCUAAGCACGAAACUUGCCCCGAGAUGAGUUCUCCCUGAGACUUUAAGUCUCCUGAAGGAACGUUGAAGACGACGACGUUGAUAGGUCGGGUGUGUAAGCGCAGCGAUGCGUUGAGCUAACCGAUACUAAUGAACCGUGAGGCUUAACCUU